CCUGGUGGCUCAGACAGUAAAGCAUCUGCCUGUAAUGCAGGAGACCCAGGUUCGAUCCCUGGGUCAGGA
RNAcentral lists this transfer RNA (69 nucleotides) under Ovis aries (sheep). It matches the Rfam family "tRNA". Rfam says of the family: Transfer RNA (tRNA) molecules are approximately 80 nucleotides in length. Their secondary structure includes four short double-helical elements and three loops (D, anti-codon, and T loops). Further hydrogen bonds mediate the characteristic L-shaped molecular structure. tRNAs have two regions of fundamental functional importance: the anti-codon, which is responsible for specific mRNA codon recognition, and the 3' end, to which the tRNAs corresponding amino acid is attached (by aminoacyl-tRNA synthetases). tRNAs cope with the degeneracy of the genetic code in two manners: having more than one tRNA (with a specific anti-codon) for a particular amino acid; and 'wobble' base-pairing, i.e. permitting non-standard base-pairing at the 3rd anti-codon position. The record is from Rfam by way of RNAcentral. Lineage: Eukaryota; Metazoa; Chordata; Mammalia; Artiodactyla; Bovidae.